GAAAAGGCAAAAGAAAGCAAAUGUCUUUCAAAAGAAAAAACACUGCACUUGAGCUGCAGAAAGGUCAGAGUAGGUAUGACCGGCUCUGCUCCUCCGGCCUCCUUUUAUCUCCUCCCCCGGAUCCUCUACGGAAGCAAGCCCUCCCCCUGGCUACGGCACCUCCGUACGGGCUCCCUACGUGUCUGGGCCUUCCUCUAACUGAACUCUGCUGUUUUCUUGUUGUUUGCUGCUCAAAUGUUGCCAAAAAAUCAAAAUAAAGUGUCCAACUGAACUUAA
This is a long non-coding RNA of Acanthopagrus latus (yellowfin seabream), 276 nucleotides long. RefSeq lists it as uncharacterized. The record is from RefSeq and is a predicted model, not a curated record. The transcript has 2 exons. NCBI's taxonomy places the organism in Eukaryota, Metazoa, Chordata, Actinopteri, Spariformes, Sparidae.